GAUGAAGAACGUAGCGAAAUGCGAUACUUGGUGUGAAUUGCAGAAUCCCGUGAACCAUCGAGUCUUUGAACGCAAGUUGCGCCCGAAGCCAUUAGGCCGAGGGCACGCCUGCCUGGGCGUCACACGUCGUUGCCCCCCCAUCUACUCCUUCGGGAUUGCGGGGGGCGGAUGAUGGCCUCCCGUGCGCCUCGUCGCGCGGUUGGCAUAAAUGCCAAGUCCUCGGCGACGCACGCCACGACAAUCGGUGGUUGCGAAACCUCGGUUGCCCGUCGUGUGCGGUCGUCGCGCAUCGAGGGCUCGAAAAAAUUGCCGGGCUCCGGCUCGGCUUUCAACGCGACCCCAGGUCAGGCGGGGUUACCCGCUGAAUUUAAGCAUAUCAACAAGCGGAGGA
Molecule: unclassified non-coding RNA, 391 nt
Filed under: soil metagenome
Description: partial contains 5.8S ribosomal RNA, internal transcribed spacer 2, and large subunit ribosomal RNA
Rfam family: 5.8S ribosomal RNA (bases 1-122)
Source: RNAcentral